Molecule: long non-coding RNA, 305 nt
Organism: Alnus glutinosa
Lineage: Eukaryota; Viridiplantae; Streptophyta; Magnoliopsida; Fagales; Betulaceae
Exons: 2
Source: RefSeq, a predicted model, not a curated record
GCUUCACUCACACACACACCUAAGGCCAAGGGAGAAAAUUGUGGGAUUUGUGUAGUUUUGUGUGGUUUAAGGCUUGAAGUGUGUGCAAGGAAGUAUUUUGGUAAAAGCUCGAUCCCGAUGCUAAUGGAAAGUUCAAGUUAUGAACAGAGAGACGUAGGUGGCCGGGAUGGGAUCUAGGAUUUGCAUUAGAUCAUUGCAUCUCAAUUAUCUUAAUAAGUGCACUUGCACAACAAAUUUAGCUUUUCUUUAAAUUCUCAGUUAUUGAAUCUUUCAUAAUUAAAUUUUUGAAAUCACCGUUUCCGCAU